RNAcentral lists this ribosomal RNA (455 nucleotides) under uncultured bacterium. RNAcentral's name for it is "bacterial SSU rRNA". It matches the Rfam family "Bacterial small subunit ribosomal RNA", at positions 791 to 1243 of the family's 1533-position model. The record is from RNAcentral.
UAGUCCACGCCGUAAACGAUGGUUACUAGCUGUCCGUCCCACAUUGGUGGGAUGGGUGGCCAAGCGAAAGUGAUAAGUAACCCACCUGGGGAGUACGUUCGCAAGAAUGAAACUCAAAGGAAUUGACGGGGGCCCGCACAAGCGGUGGAGCAUGUGGUUUAAUUCGAUGAUACGCGAGGAACCUUACCAGGGCUUAAAUGUAGUCUGACAGCUUUAGAGAUAGAGUUUUCUUCGGACAGAUUACAAGGUGCUACAUGGUUGUCGUCAGCUCGUGCCGUGAGGUGUCAGGUUAAGUCCUAUAACGAGCGCAACCCUUGUCGUUAGUUGCCAGCAAGUAAAGUUGGGGACUCUAGCGAGACUGCCCGUGUAAGCGGAGAGGAAGGUGGGGACGACGUCAAGUCAUCAUGGGCCUUUAUGCCCAGGGGCUACACACGUGCUACAAUGGUGCAUACAGA